Long non-coding RNA from Scomber scombrus (Atlantic mackerel), 446 nucleotides. RefSeq lists it as uncharacterized. The transcript has 2 exons. The record is from RefSeq and is a predicted model, not a curated record. NCBI's taxonomy places the organism in Eukaryota, Metazoa, Chordata, Actinopteri, Scombriformes, Scombridae.
CACACACACACACACACACACACUACUACACAUUUAAAACCUGAACACAUCUGAUUGGAUUAUAAAUGGAUUUUAAUCUUCAUCAUUUAUUCUUUAUUCAGAUUGAGUUACUGCAGUUUGUCAAACACCAGCUGUGAUUAUCUGGUCUCAGCUCUGAAGUCCAACUCCUCCCAUCUCAGAGAGCUGAAUCUAAGAUGGAACUUCCUGCAGGAUUCAGACGUGAAGCAGCUGAUUGAUCUUCAGCAGAGUCCAGACUGCAGACUGGAGACUCUGAGAUGGAAGGGUUACUGGUCUCUGUCAGAGUGAGAGUGAACAUCCAGGAGUGUUGAGAGAGGAUCAGCUGGAUCCUGAUGAUCCAUCUGGAGUCUGGAUCUGGAUUUUGUCGUCUUCACUUAAGUCUCUUAACUGACUACAAACUGAACAGUUAUCUCUGGAUUUAGCUGAAG